AGUGAACGCUGGCGGUAGGCCUAACACAUGCAAGUCGAACGGCAGCACAGUAAGAGCUUGCUCUUACGGGUGGCGAGUGGCGGACGGGUGAGGAAUACAUCGGAAUCUACUUUUUCGUGGGGGAUAACGUAGGGAAACUUACGCUAAUACCGCAUACGACCUACGGGUUAAAGCAGGGGAUCUUCGGACCUUGCGCGAUUGAAUGAGCCGAUGUCGGAUUAGCUAGUUGGCGGGGUAAAGGCCCACCAAGGCAACGAUCCGUAGCUGGUCUGAGAGGAUGAUCAGCCACACUGGAACUGAGACACGGUCCAGACUCCUACGGGAGGCAGCAGUGGGGAAUAUUCGGCAAUGGGCGCAAGCCUGAUCCAGCCACACCGCGUGGGUGAAGAAGGCCUUCGGGUCGUAAAGCCCUUUUGUUGGGAAAGAAAAGCAGCAGGUUAAUACCCCGCUGUUCUGACGGUACCCAAAGAAUAAGCACCGGCUAACUUCGUG
This 492-nucleotide ribosomal RNA is filed under the name uncultured bacterium. RNAcentral's name for it is "partial 16S ribosomal RNA". It matches the Rfam family "Bacterial small subunit ribosomal RNA", at positions 29 to 507 of the family's 1533-position model. The record is from RNAcentral.